AUCUACAGUCCUUACUGAGAUUACACAAGAGGAAAUGAUGAGGCAUUUUUUUUUUCCUGAAUGUUGAAACUAGUCUCUUUGUCCAUACACACCGGCACCGACAGAAAGAAUGCUUUGAAGAAAUUCCUCAAAGGUAAAAGGGAGUAUCUGGAAACUCGUGAAUCUUUUGGGCAUUGUCACGUCUUCGAUAUUUGGACUUGGACAAAUGUAUGAAAGUAUGACAAACAAACCAGUGGCCAGAGCGCACAGAUACCACCAACAUGUCACCUUGUAUCAAGGAUCCAUACACAGCUUUAUCAAAGAGUUCAUUUUGUCAUGUUCCAAGUACAUAUAUUUGAAAAGAAUGAAGUUAUCUGACAUUUGGGACACAACCAACAUGGGAAAUGUGGCCAUUUGGAUUACAGCGGAUGGACGAAAAGGAGGAAAAGUAGGAAGGACGAGGGAAGGAAGAAGAGGAACAGCAGGAGCAAGAAGAUUAUUGAAAGCACAGGAGAUCACUUAGAAGUAAUACGGAAUUAAGCAAUGGAUAUGAAAGAAGAGAGAUAAACAAUCACACCCAGAGUGACUUCCCACUCUUCAUUGUCUCAUGCAAAGGAAAGACAUUCUUUGGGUGAGAUCCUUCCAAAGCAAACAUCCUGAGCACCUAGGCAUCCCACUUGUGGAUCACAGUAGCCAGCAGGCUGACUCACUUAUAUUCAUGCAACUCCCUGGGGCCAGUGAAUUACACUGAGAAUAUUCUAGGCAGCCACAUUGCUGGGGAUGAAAAGGUGGGGAAGUAGAGGGUUACCCAAAUGGUAACUUUCUAGAAAGCUAGUUCUAAGAAUGUUUCUUGAUAUACUGAGAACUAGUAUGUCAGUAUUCUAGCAGGAUCUUUUCUACCAGUAGCUUAUGUGCUUAUAGAGCAAGGGAAUUAAAAUGCAGUGGUUUUAGGUGAAAGUGUUAAUGUCAGGCAGUCUGCAAAAAUUCAGUACUUUUCAAGCUUAUUUGCCCUGUACUAUAAUCUAAACUACCUGCCCUACCAUCUGUUUUUGUUCUGUAAAUAACUGUUCCCAAUCCAACUGCCUACUGAAUAACAAGCCAGUGAUUCAGUUAAUAAUUAUAAACCUUAACAAUUCAACAAGUAACCGCAUACAAAGAAACUAGAUAUCACAUGUCUGAAUAUUUGAUAGUCAUGCAAGACAGAAAAUGGGGCUUCUGGAACACCAGUCAUGUUGGGAACUGUUGGGGAAGGGGCAGGGCGGGGUAGAUUGUUAGGUUUUGAAUGAAACUUUGCCUUAACGGUUCCAGUUCAAUCUUUCCCACACAAGCUCCUGCCCACAUCUCAUAGAAGUAUUAUAUCUGUUCACUUCCUUGUACUUUGCUCCAAGAAUUAGUGAGUCAUGGUUUAAACACAAAUUCUUAACAUAGGUGCUACAGGCAAACAAAGGAAACCCAAACGCCUCAUUCUUCUAUUUCUUCUUUAAAAGGAAACUCAUGCUGGAGGCAUUUGUGUAACAUUCCUUUUACAUAACAGCAAGAACUUCAUCUGAGGAAAGAAACAGUGCAGCUGUAGGAAGCAGUAGGUGGGGGGUUGCUCUUCGCUGAUCUAUGACCCUUCCUGGCCUUCGCUGUUCAUAAUGCGAUACAACAAUUCCUGGGCCAACCCAGAAUGUGAAGGUAGGACAUAGAAAGGGGGCACACAAGAGAGGCAGCAUACUUGUCCAGUGCUAGGAAAUGAUGAGGUAGUCUCUUUAAAUGUGUAGGCAGCUCAGUUAGAUGAGCUGGGGUUAUAUCCUUUUCUGAUCUGAUGUUUAUUGGCUGUGUGACUCUGGCAAUAUAGGGAAGUAUGGCUGGGAGUUAUCGCACCAUUGACAAAAUCAGGAAAAUAACAAAAAGUAAUAUAUAAUUUAUCUUUAACUGUGUCUGAUACACAGAUUCACCGAACCCUAUAGACUCCAGUUCAGUCUUCUCCUGCAAGACUAGAAACUGAUUUUCUUUGUUUUGGUUUUUGGUUUUGUUGUUGCUGUUUGUUGCUUUGUUUUGUUUUCGUUUUGCCCUGGUAUUUGAGACUGGAGAAGAACUCACAGGACUGUUCUAGAACCAGGAGAGAUGAGCUUGUCUCACCCAGAGCUCACACCUGAGACCUCAGAGCAAACCACACAUUAACUACUGUGUGGCCAGAGAAGGGAAGUAUGCACAUCCCCCUCCUUAUAAUUUUUCUGUAUCUCAGAAUGUGGAAAGGUUUUCUGUACUAUCUGAGAUAGCUUAUAUUAAUCCAUUAACCUAUCAAUGUCCUGGAUAGAUUUGGUGGUUGCCAUUUCACACUGGCUGUGUGCUGGAUGGAAUGUGAGACAUAGACAAAUGGUGCUCAUAUGAAAGGUGUUCCACUCUGCUCCUGUUGAACAGCAUUGUCUAAUUCCAGCAAGAGUGCCACAGUUAACUUAUUUAACAGUCUUUUUGAAGAGAUAUGUUGGACCUUCCUGUUAUUUCUCUUAUGCCACUUUCUGAUUCAGGAUAUUUACCUUUUGUGUGUAUCUGUCCUCUGUGUUCCCUCCUGCUUUGCUUCUGAGUUUGCUUCCCCACAUCUUAACUGGAACCACUCACUUUGUUGCUGUGAGACAGUUUUUCCUAGUGACAUCAGCACCUACAUUCAAAAGGUCUAACCAACCUGACUGUCUGAUGUGAAAUGAACAAGGAUGAACAAGGAUGAUAGCAAUGAACUUCCGAAGUGGAUGGAGUCCAUGAGGUCUCUACCCUAAACAAGGAACUAUUGAUACGUGAGGAACACUAGGAGUGAAAGAGAUGCUCUUCCCCAGGGAGGAGCACACUGAUUGGUUAUCUGACACCAACUGAUCAACCCUAAAAACAUAUAUAAAAGUAAUAUUGUACAUAUUGAACAGGGUAUAUUUAGGAAUAUUUCUGUAUAUAUGUGAGUGUAUAUGUAUGUUUAUGUCUGUAUAUGUAUAUGUCUGUACAUAAUAAAAGUAUGUGUAUAUAUGCAUGUAUAUAUGCAUGCAACAAUUAAUGAAAAAAGUCGUGAAUUUAAAGACUUGGGAGAUAUGGAAGGAGGAAAAAGGAGAAAUGUUAAAUUGUAUUAUAAUAUUAAAAAUCCAAACAAUAUUUAUUCAUAGAAAAAGCAAUAGAAAAUUCACACAAUAUGUUUCUCUCUGGUUAUACAUUUGGACCCAAUAGAUUGUGAUAACAAUUGUCUUUCCACUAAUUCCAAAAUUUAAUUUCUAUUUUUAACUUAUUAUUGCUCCAUUUUUCCAAUACUUAACUUAAAAAAACCCUGCUACCUUAAUUUAUCGGAUGCCUAGUUUUCUGGGUUUACAGAAAAUAAUAACAUUAAAAAUUUUCACCUAGGAGAAUUCUUCAUGGGGCUGUUUUGGCUGUGCUUUGUGACCAAAUACUAGGAUUUACAGCUGUCUGUUGGAUGAAAGGGAAUAAUAUCAUCUAUCCAAAUGCUUCUCACAUAUUUAAAAAUGUAUUAUUUUGUCUAUUGUGUAGAUGUAUGUUUAUGUGUGCAUGUUAAUAUGCACGUAUGGGUACAUACAAACUCAUGUUUGUGGACAUGUGGCUGCACAUGCUACAGGAUACUUUUGGAGAUUAGAGGACAACCUCAAAUGUUAUCCCUUCUCUUCCUUUUGGUUUGAGACAGUUUGCCUGUAUUUCACCCCUGGCCUGCCAGACUAGAAGCCUGCAAUCCUAUGGUGAUUUUGCUGUCCCCAUCUCUUAUUUCAUUGUGGGAUCAAUAGUUUUAUACAAAGCAUGUUUCCAUUCUCAGCUCCACAUGGUUUCGGAGGAUUUGAAUUCAGUUUCUGAAACCUGCCUUAACCACUGAACUGUCUCCACAAUCUCAGGGACGCUUCUUUAAAUCACUCACAUUAACAACAUCCCUUAAAAUUCUUUUGCCGAUUCUUCUGUGACAUUCUGAUUUGGGUAUCUAUAUAGAUUUUCCUUACAUGGAAAGAAUGGAUGGUCUUCUUUUGGGAGCAGAAAACCCUCUGACAUGUCUUAAUAAAUUGUUUACCUUUAUGCUACAUAACAGGCUCUGACUAGAUGCUUUGGAUUUUUUAAUUCUUCCUUUCUUAGUUGAUUUAGGCCCUAAGCUUUGCUGUGCAGUCAUAAAGUAGCAGUCAUUUCACACACCCUGCAGAGUUAUAAAACUGUAUAAUGCGAUAUCCACUGCAAAGCUCCAGCAUACCAGCUCCUACACAGUAGACAAUACCCCAUUCUAGUGCUCUUCCUUCCUGCCCUCUAAGCUAUCUAUGUCCUUGCCCCAAGAAUACAAUGUUGGGUGUGGAAAAAAUGUUGUCCUGAUUGCUAUUUACAGCACUUCCAGACCAGAACCCCAGGAUUCUUCUGUAUUGUUGACCACUGACCUGUGCAUUCGAAAGAAGCUCUAAGGACAUAAGAUACUAUCUAGAGAUACAAGAGAAUAAAAGCACUGCUUGAGCUUGGGUGAUUUGUAUGUGAGAAGUUCAUUCCCUCUGUGUUGAGAUAGAAUGGCUUUGUGUACAGGUGAUUGGACCCUGCCUUGUGAAUGGAUUAAUGCCCUUAUUGCAAGAGAGCCUUAGUCAUUCAGGGAGGGGUUCCUAUGGAAAGCCUGAGGUUGGAUCCUUUCCUUCCCUAACAUGUUUGUACCUCUGCAUAGGCUUCUAUUUUCUGCCAUGGUAGGAUACAGCAAGCAGACCCUCACCAUAUGAUAUGGCUCCUUGACCUUGGACUUCCCUACUUCCAGGAGUAUAAGAAGUGACUCUCUGUCACUUACAAUUGCCCAGUUGCAGGCAUUCCAUUAAGGCAGUACAAAGUGGAAUAAAACAAAUACAACUGUAGGCAACUAGUUCCAAACUGGAUCAAAGGGUGGCUUGUGAAAUAAUGCAGUCAUUGUUCUCUUAGUAUUACUCCAAUAAGCCAAGGAUGCACUGGUGUAUCAGAGGUAGGCAUGGAUUUUUGGAUUUCCCCUUUUACACAAAGGAGAUGACACAGGUAUGAAGUUCCAGGCACCUUGCCCAUCUUUUGUAAUCUGUUCUUUCUCUCUCUCUGAUGCUGACUUCAGAUUCAAUCUCUGCUGUUCCCUAGCUUAAAGUACUGGUGCUUCC
Molecule: long non-coding RNA, 5081 nt
Organism: Rattus rattus (black rat)
Lineage: Eukaryota; Metazoa; Chordata; Mammalia; Rodentia; Muridae
Exons: 6
Source: RefSeq, a predicted model, not a curated record